RNAcentral lists this long non-coding RNA (1053 nucleotides) under Homo sapiens (human). RNAcentral's name for it is "HSALNT0408568". Lineage: Eukaryota; Metazoa; Chordata; Mammalia; Primates; Hominidae. The record is from RNAcentral.
CCAGCUACUUGGGAGGCUGAGGCAUGAGAAUUGCUUGAACCCAGGAGGCGGAGGUUGCAGGGAGCUGAGGUUGUGCCACUGCACUCCAGCCUCGGUGACAGAGUGAGACUCCGUCUCAAAAAAAGAAACAAACAAACAAAAAAAACCCUAAUUAUGUUAAAUUAAAAAUGUUUGUAUUUCCUUUCCAUCCACUACCUGAGUCUAGUAGAGGAGAUAGAAGGUCCUUAAUCCCUGCUUUCAGUCUCCCUAUAAACUAUGUGAAACUUUAUAAACUUCUAUUAACACAACAUCUAGCACUCAGGAAUCCUUACCUGCUGAUCUCCUUAUAAGAGGUUUUCAUGAAGCCAGUACUUGUAGGAUUAAAUGUAAGGAAUUCUCUAUAAUUUCUAAGAUCUCUUCAUUUUCCUCCGCUUUUAUUAUGGGUUUUUUUUUUUUGUUUUUUUUUUUGUUUGUUUGUUUGUUUGUUUUUUUGAGACGGAGUUUCGCUCUUAUUGCCCAGGCUGGAGUGCAAAGGUGCGAUCUCGGCUCACUGCAACCUCCGCCUCCCAGGUUCAAGCGAUUCUCCUGUGUCAGCCUCCAGAGUAGCUGGGAUUACAGGCCUGUGCCACCAUGUCCGGCUAAUUUUUUGUAUUUUUAGUAGAGAUGGAGCUUCACCGUGUUAGCCAGGAUGGUCUCAAUCUUCUGACCUCAGGUGAUCUGCCCUCCUCGGCCUACCAAAGUGCUGGGAUUACAGGUCUGUGAGCCACUGCGUCCGGCCCGAUUAUGGCUCUUUAAGAAAAAAACUUCCCACACUGAAACCUCAAAUACUGAUCACAGGAUCCACCUGUGUUACCCAGCUGUUCUAGCAGCAAAAGUCUGAAAACGACCCCUCACUUUAAUCAGGCAGGCAGGCAGGCAUUCCACAUGUACACCUGAAACCACACCAGACUAUUUCUGCAUAUUAUAAGUCACGAGAGAAAACCAGCUAGACCAAUGAAGCAGCUUCUUCUACGAUUAGAUGCUUGUGUUGGGGGUGCGGGAUUGGGGGAGAUAUGUUCUAGAAGCCACUGCCAG